RNAcentral lists this transfer RNA (73 nucleotides) under Cordylochernes scorpioides. RNAcentral's name for it is "tRNA-Thr". It matches the Rfam family "tRNA". Rfam says of the family: Transfer RNA (tRNA) molecules are approximately 80 nucleotides in length. Their secondary structure includes four short double-helical elements and three loops (D, anti-codon, and T loops). Further hydrogen bonds mediate the characteristic L-shaped molecular structure. tRNAs have two regions of fundamental functional importance: the anti-codon, which is responsible for specific mRNA codon recognition, and the 3' end, to which the tRNAs corresponding amino acid is attached (by aminoacyl-tRNA synthetases). tRNAs cope with the degeneracy of the genetic code in two manners: having more than one tRNA (with a specific anti-codon) for a particular amino acid; and 'wobble' base-pairing, i.e. permitting non-standard base-pairing at the 3rd anti-codon position. Lineage: Eukaryota; Metazoa; Arthropoda; Arachnida; Pseudoscorpiones; Chernetidae. The record is from RNAcentral.
UCCAGGGUAGCCGAGUGGACGAGGCACCUGCCCGGUAAGCAGAAGGGUGUGGGUUCGAUUCCCGCCCCUAGAC